This 43-nucleotide small RNA is filed under the name Sinorhizobium meliloti 2011. RNAcentral's name for it is "putative ncRNA". The record is from RNAcentral. Lineage: Bacteria; Pseudomonadati; Pseudomonadota; Alphaproteobacteria; Hyphomicrobiales; Rhizobiaceae.
AUCGGAUAACCGUGCUCGAUCUCGACCACGAUGUUCUGCUGGU